Molecule: small RNA, 238 nt
Filed under: Marmota monax (woodchuck)
Lineage: Eukaryota; Metazoa; Chordata; Mammalia; Rodentia; Sciuridae
Source: RNAcentral
GUCCUACAGUCCCAGCUAACUUGGGAGGCUGAGACAAGAGGAUGACUUGAGCCCAGGAAUUCGAGGCUGCAGUGCACUCUGCCUGCCAAUCAGGGGCCUCCAUUGUGUUUGGCAUUAGUAUGGUGACUUGCCAGGAGUAGGGGACCACCAGGUGGCACACACUGAUCAGUUGUGGGAUCCUGCCUGUGAACGGUCAUGGCACUCUAUCCUGGGCAACAUUAGGGAGCCCCCAUCUCUU